Molecule: ribosomal RNA, 324 nt
Filed under: uncultured bacterium
Lineage: Bacteria
Description: bacterial SSU rRNA
Rfam family: Bacterial small subunit ribosomal RNA
Source: RNAcentral
GAGGAAGGAGGGGAUGAUGUCAGGUCAGUAUUACCCUUACGUCUGGGGCUACAAACACGCUACAAUGGCCGGUACAAAGGGCAGCCAACCCGCGAGGGGGAGCAAAUCCCAUCAAAACCGGUCUCAGUUCGGAUAGCAGGCUGAAACUCGCCUGCUUGAAGCUGGAAUCGCUAGUAAUGGUAGGUCAGCACACUACCGUGAAUACGUUCCCGGGUCUUGUACACACCGCCCGUCAAACCAUGAAAGUCGCCAAUACCUGACGUGCCACCUUGAGUGGUCCUAAGGUAGGGGAGAUAAUUGGGGUUAAGUCGUAACAAGGUAACC